AUGAUUUGGCAGCACAUAUGCUAAAAUUGGAACAAUGCAGAGAAGAUUAGUGUGGCUCCUGUGCAAGGCUGACACACAAAUUGGUGAAUCAUUCCAUAUAAAA
Small nuclear RNA from Cynocephalus volans (Philippine flying lemur), 103 nucleotides. The record is from RefSeq and is a predicted model, not a curated record. NCBI's taxonomy places the organism in Eukaryota, Metazoa, Chordata, Mammalia, Dermoptera, Cynocephalidae.